Molecule: long non-coding RNA, 31995 nt
Filed under: Musa acuminata (dwarf banana)
Lineage: Eukaryota; Viridiplantae; Streptophyta; Magnoliopsida; Zingiberales; Musaceae
Description: long non-coding RNA (MACU_LNC006051)
Source: RNAcentral
CUCCUUGCUUCUCCUCCUAACAUCGUCCCCAACUCUCGACCUCCUCCGGCCAAGUCCUCCAACCCUAACAUUCUCGUCGGCCUCACCAUAUUCCUUGUCGUCGCGGCCUUCUCUCUGUUGGCGAACUACGAGGCCGCCAAGGGCUUUCAGAUCGUCGUCGUCAAUGCCGCCUUGCACACCCACGCAGGCCGGCGCUUCGACCUCCUGUUCGUCUCCAACGACCGCGCCACCAGACUCGUCGUCGCCUCCAGCAAUCUUGUGCAGCGCAUCCUUUACCCGGACGAUUCGUUUCCCAGGAAGCCGGUGGACCGCGUGACACUUUACAUGGCCGGCGAAGACCUCGACAGCACGGUUGCAGUCCGCGGAGGACGCAGCGCGGGCGAGUUCGUCGUCCGGAUGAGCCCGGCCGUGAUGGAGGCGGCCGACGUCAAAGCGGCCGUGGCUGAGGCGGUGCAACGGGGCAUGGCGCGGGUCUGGCUAUGGGAUGGGCGAGGCGAGGCCCCGAGAUCGCUUCUUGACGCCAUGGCAGAGUGGGUUGCCAUGUCCUCCGGCAUGGCAUCUCCUUCCAUCAGGCCCCGCAACACCAGCGUAUCACCGUUCAAUGCUUCGUGCUGGGAGGACGACGACCACGUACGCCUGGCGAGCUUCUUGAAUUACUGCGACGCGAAGCACCAUGGAUUUGUAGCGCGCUUGAACAGAGCCAUGCAGGAUGAGUGGACCGAAGACACGUUCAACGUUACAUUGGGCUCAUCAGUUCCACAAAUCUGCUCCGCCUAUCUCUCGGCAGAACAAAUAUCUAGUAAGUAAACCUAAUGCUUCUUCUGAUGUAAGAGCUAAUAAGCUUACUAGUGUGCCACCUUUUACGUAGUAUGUACAUCAUCUCAACGAAUAACGAAGCCAUUCUAUCAACAGAUACACACAUACACAGAAAUGGCUUCCCACAGCACGUACUUUCAAUUUGCAUUAGUAAGUUCACAAUGACUCAGUAAGUUACGAACGCAUCAGCAGUCCUUUCCGAUUGAAUGCCUCACUGAUAGGACGUCCAGUUUUGUGAUAGAAUUCAUUGCUGAAUGAACAAUCGGUGCGUAACUCCGUCAUGUGAUUAUUGUACUGUAUGUGUCAGUAUAGCAUCUUCUCGCGCAGUUAAUGGGUUUUGUUGAGGCGUCGUCGUCGUCUGCCCACAAAGGUUUUGUAUCCAUCUCGUAGGUUGCUCGGGAGCCAUCCAUGGCACAUCAAGAACCAUGGUGGGCCUCGGAGCUUUGGGUGCUUCCAUUUGGAUAUGUGGCAUCUCAGUUGUCUCUCUCGUCCUCGCCGGGGUGAACAUCGAGAAGGCAAGGGUACGAACUGUGUGGUCUGAGCUUGAAAGCUUGAAAGUUUGUGAGCAUAUUUUCCUUGGGAUUCUGAUAGCGAGUUUUCUCACCGGAGAAGAAUGAGUUGUAGAUCUAAUGCGGCCUUCUUGAUUCGAAGUGGGAAAGGGGCAUCUGCAAUUAUCAGCAUCAGACAAAAGCAUUUGGCAUGACUAACUCCAACUUGUCAGUGAUGUUUUUGCUGCCUUCGGUUCUUCCAAACCUUCUAGGAUUUAAUUAUUAAGAGGACAGCGAGGAUUGAGAUAUUUCAGUACUUGGAGCAUAUGAUUUGGGAUCACCAAAGGGCGACGACAGCUACUCAUUAUUGGGGUUGGCGACGAAUACAAAUACUUUUAGCAGUCCAAAGUUUCCAAUAAAUCUUUAUUGCGUACUCUAAAGAAUGAAAGUAAGACAUUUCUCAAAAAAAUGUUAGGGUGGGAGAAAAAAAAUUCAAAUUUUAUGUAAAUUUAUUUUAUAUACUUAUAUAAGGAUAUUUUACCUAAAAACUACCGUCCUAAUUAGUUUUCACCUAAUGUGUUUUUUUUAUUAAUUUAACGAAAAUAUCUCUCUACCUUCCACUCCGACCAUCGUUGUCGUGGCCUCCUCUUUUUCUACUCCUCCUUUUCUUAUAUCAUCCAUCCUUUUAUAUUGUUUUUGUUUAACAUUAUCCAUUUUUACUGCUGUAUCGUAGCAACGACUACACUUUCACGAAUGUAUAAAAGGUAAUGUCUAUUCUUUAUCACAGUAUUUCAUUCAUCAUUAUUAGCAUUCUCUUUGUUCACCUAUGCUUAGCUCGCAUUACAUAAACGAUCGAAGGAGGGGGGAGAGUAUUGUUGCUCAUCGAUGACAUUAUAUAAAGAUUGACAUGGAAGGACGAACAAUGUUUACCACUUACACGAUCAAAGAUUUCUAACAAAGAAAAAAGAUAUAUUUUUAUUAAAAUAAAUUAAAAAAAUCAUAAUUAGGAGGCAUCAUAUGAUGAAAGUUCAGUCUCUCUCUCUCUCUCUCUCUCUCUCUCUCUCUAUAUAUAUAUAUAUAUAUAUAUAUAUAUAUUUGUGUAAAAUGCCGUAAAGAAAAGAAAGACCAUGUGGUUCGCACGGACGUACAUAAGUCACCUGGGUAUGCCUUUUUGGGCAGGUAUCAGGUAUCAUAUUGCGCCCAACCCUAGAAAUCGGAGGCGGAGGAAUCGAGCCGAUCUGUUAAUUCGCACCCCGGAAAUCCACAUGAACCCACAAAAUUAACCCCCCAAGCCCAAACCCUAAUCCGCCCCCUGCUGCUUCGUCCUCCUCGCACAGCAGAUUCAGAUUUGGGUUGGGUUAGGAUCUAUUGAUUGGGUUGUAAAUGACCUCCGCGCCCCAACAGUUGGAGGCCUCUGCCUCUCGGUCUCCUCGGCCACAACAGCAACAGCAAGCACGACCGCCACCGAGCGGCACGCUGACCUUCGACGAGAUCUCCAAGCUCUUCUCGCUUCCCAUCGCCGAGGCCGCCCCCGUCCUCGGUAACCACACCCGAACCCUCCUGAAGAUCCCCCGAUUCCCGCUUCUUAUUGUGAUUUGUUGUCUAUUUAUUGCUCUUGGCGGUUGGAUUUGGGAUCUGGCGGGUGGCUUUGUUUGUUUGGAUUUCUGUGUGUGCUCUUGAGGAACUCGGUUGUGGUGCACUUUACCCUUCAUUAGAAUGCAUGGAUUUGGGCUUUGGUUUUUCCUCUUCGAUCUUCUCAUCCCUGGACUUCAUUAGAGUGAGGGUGGUUCUCAUUCUCUUUCAAGCAUACUGUUACUAUUGUGGCUCAACAUAGAACUAUGAAAUUAGCACAAAGAAAAAUUAAAUUUCACCUUGGGAACACUAAUGGAAACCAGAAAGCGCAAAAUGUACAACUUGCAGUAGACAAGGCUUUGGCAGAUUUGUUGUUCAAGCUUGGGCUGAUACUGAUACCUGAAGUCUGGAGAUAAGAAUUCGAUAACUUGCUACUGACUUGUUGUUCCAAAUGGUAUAGAGGCCACUUGUCGUUCGUUAGAUUUUUCUCUUGGUUGAAUAAAAUUGUGUUUACAUGUCAUGGCUGAGCAUUUAUUUUGGUCGGUUACUGCAUUCCAUUUAUCUGCAGUUACGUAUGUGAUUAAGCAUCAGGUUUAAUUUAAUAAAUAUGAAAAGCUUGAAUAUAGAAGUUAAAAGGAAUCAUAUGGAUUGGACAACAUAGAGUGAUAGAGAUUGCGUAGGCAUGGAAUUACGAAUCAGGAGUGUAUAUUUUCACGAGGAUUGAACAUUUACCAUAUUCUACAAUUUCUAGAAUUCAGUGUACUAUUUGAUGGGGAAAAGCUGUGUAGCAUGAAAGCGGCAAGAUGGUAUGAUGAAGGAACAUCAUUCAGGACUUGAUUAAUCAGUUCUGAUAUUUAUGUGAAGGAUAGAAAGCUUAUUAGCAAGCAGCUUGCUGUUUCCUUAUAAUUUAAACUGGGAAGCAAGAAAUCGGAUGUAGCAACAUUCAUUUAGGCAAGCAGUUGUGAUGUACAUUACAGAUCAAUCUUUGACAAUAAUAGCAAAGUUGCAAUCACUAAACUGGAAGAAAUUAGAUGAAGGAAAUCUACUGCAGGGUAGGUAGGACUAUAAACACAUCAAUAACAGAAAUAUUAAACAAUAAAAGCAGCAGCAGCAGCAGCGAUGAAGAAUAUACAAAGAAAUAAGAUAAUUCAUGGAGUGACAAGAGAGAAAUUGGAUCACCACUUUUCUUAAAAGAUAAGUCACAUACAUAGAGCCAUGGUCCACUCCAUUAUUUUGGGAAUUAAUAGCUAUAGCCUAAUACAUAGAGUCAUUAACUACUCCAUCCAAAAGUAUGUCACAUAGAGCCAUCAGCUACUUCAUUCUUUAGAUCUCAUAACUGGUCCAAUAUAAAUCCUUCUAAGUUCAACAUUUUAAGGCUUUCUAUUUUACUUUCUGUUACAUUUUUUAUAUUUAAAAUCAGGCUUCAAAUGUAAUUAUACAAUUUCCAUCUGACAGUUGCGAAUGCUGCUUUAUAGGAGUCUGUACAAGUGUCUUGAAGAAGAUAUGUCGCGACUAUGGCAUUGUAAGGUGGCCAUAUCGAAAGGUAGGUUGCUGAUUUAAGUUUUCUCAUUAGUUUCGUGGUGGUUAUCUCAAGAAAUGUUUCAUUAUCAAUGGAAUACAUAAACUCUUCUCAUCCAUCUUUUUGGCAUAUACAGAAACUGAUCAAUGAAAAAAAAAAGUUGAUUUUGAAAUUGUGUAAUAGCAAUGUAACUGUUGCAUAUAAAGCUUUCUAAAAACACAAAAUUUUUUUUCUUAAGUUCAUUUCGUGAGAUGUUCUUUAUUUGUUCCAUCCAGUUGAACGUAACCUUUUAGAGAUUUAUAAUCUUUUAGUAGCAGUUUGGUGUCUGUUAUAAUUUUCAUAGAGUUCAAUGGCAAAUAUGGUCAUAAGCCUUUCUUUUCUUUUCCAUUUAUUUCCCUCUACAUCUUUCUUUCUUUUUCUCCUUGACCUCUAUAUCCGCUAAGACUAUCCAUGUUCUGCGGUGACUGUGCUUUCUUUUUUUCCCUUUUCUGCAGUAGAUGAAGAUUUUCUGUUAGAUUGUUGAAUUAAAGAGCCUUGCACAAUUUCUCAGAUGUUCAUUCCAAACAAAGUUGUUAUAUUUUGCAAUGGUUUUUACAAUUUUAUUACAAUGAGCUGGAAUGAUGCAUGCCAAUUUUAUUACAUGACUUUAUAUCAUGUAGAAAAAUCACAUUACAAAAUCUAAAAUUCUUUCAUGUCCUUCAGAUGUUACAUUCUCUUUAAUUCACAACAGAUAAGUGCUCGAUCCAUCUCCAGUUACAAUGGAAAUGAUGGUUGCUUUUUAUCAACUUAUCUAGUCAAACUGACAGUACCUAUGUGAUUGUAUUGUUUUGGAAACUGUUCCACCUUGCGUUUUACAUUUUAACAUCUGUGCUGAAUGAUCUUUUGCUAACAUAAUUAUCUAUCAUUUUGGUUAUCAUAUUUGGUAUUUAUUUAUAAAGCAUUCUAGAAGAAAUAAUUAGGAAUUUGGUCUUGUUUUUAGCAACUUUGUUGUGUUGUUCUGUUCUUCGUAGAAAUGUAUCUUCAAUUGUGAAAAUUAAAAUGGUCAUGUUGUUUUAGUAUCUUGCUGGGAAGACUGUAGAAGAUAUUAGAAGAGAUAUUGCUAAGGAGAGAAGUAAGGAGCUAGCUGAUUUAUCGAAGACUAACCAAAAGAAUGAUGUGUCCAAUGUGAUGUCAUCGCCAGUUGGUUCCUUAUCAGCUUUGUGAGUAUACUUACUUUUCUUGUUCAGUGAAAAGUAUAAUGCAUCUCCAUCCAUAUCUUUGUCUUCUAAUUUAUCAUGCUUUAUUAGGUAUGGCUUUUUUUUAGUGUAAACUUCAUCAAAUAUUAUCUUAAACACAAUCUUGUCCAUGUAAAUGUCUUGCCAUGAGUAUUUAUUUCAACUUCACAGGCAGUUGUUCUGCAGGAUUCUUACUCGAUGCAUGCUUAGGAAGGCAUGAGUUCUCAACUAAUCUGCAGCUAGUAUUUGCUACUUGAUAGAAUUACUUGGAGAAAACAUUUAACCCGUGUGUAUGAAUGUUAUGCUUGUAGGCUAUUCUUCAAAUUGUUGCAAAAAAUGUGCCCUCUUGGAUGAGUUUGCAAGGAAAAUAUGCCAAAUGAUCAUCCUAUAACUAUGUGAACAGUUUUAUCCAUUUUGACUUCGGGGUGAUAGUGAAUCAAGUCUUUAUAAAAAUGCUAAUCGCCAAAUUGAUAGGACAAAGUUUUGGCUCUGUUAUUGUGACUCACCUAUUGCUGGAACUUAUCUUAUUUUAUCAAUAAUCACAUUUCUCGUCUAAUGAUCUUAUUUUGUCAAUUUUAGUCUUAGCAGUUUUAAGUUAUCGCAAGGAGCACGUAGGACAUUUGACUGGUUAAAAUUAAAAUUGAUGCCAUCUCUUUCAUUAUAUUGCUUAUUGCAUGGCCUGAACUUUAUAUGAAACUCUUGUGACCAAGUUUCUGCUAAUUAUUGUCUCUAGAUGCAUUGAGGAAACCGAUUGACCUCUGAUCCUUACAAACAAAUAUGGCAAUUUUGUCUUCAGUUAAUAAUCAUGGAAGUAUUUACUAGCAACUACAGAAAAAAAUAAUGUCAUCUUGUAUCUUUGUAGAUUACAAUGUUUACUACUUGGGGUGUUUGGAGUGCCUAUUUAGAUUUUCCAUGCCUUUAAUGUUUGCUAUUUAUUUAGCUUGUAUCUAGUUAGAAAUGUUUGUAUGCAAUAGGAUGUGGCCUUAAUUUUUCAUGCCCUUAAUUUUUUUUUUUUUUUUUUUUUCCGUACGAGUAUCAUCAAAACCUAACUAAAUUGUAACCAGUAACCUGCAACACUAGCUUUAGCGUAUAACACCCAGGUCAUGGUUUUCAGGUCACCAUGACUAAUUAGAAAAUCAUAUUUUAGUAUGUGCAUAAGGAAUUUUGUUAUAAAUACAGUACUUAUUCCUUGCGGAAUGAUACAGAAAUAAUGUGAAUCAUCCUAUUCUGUGAAAAGAGGGGCUCGAUGACCUAAGCUGAACUGCUUUGAUGUAGAGAAUUAUUACUGGAAGAAGAAUAUUCUUUUUCUAUUAUUUUUUGAACUGAAUAGAUCUAUCUUUCUGCAAUAGGAUAUAACUCUCAAUUUUCUUGUCUUUUAUUUGUUCUUUUUUUUUUUUUGUAAACAGAUAUUUCUGCUGCUAUUCUAGAUGCACCACGAUUUGAUGAUCACUAAUGAAACUUGAAUUCAUAUACAAGAUAAUGUUUGUUGGGUUGAACAUGUCUCAUGUUUUUGCAAUAUUGGAGGCAUUAUGAAGCAUGAAUUCAUAUACUAAGAUAAUAUUUCUAGAGUCGAACAUGUCUCAUGCUUUUGCCAUAUUUGGAGGCGGCAUGUUGGAGGUACACACAACUUGGCGAGGAGCCCCUACUUGUGCUCCAGACCUUAAAAAACCAAGAAUGUCAGCUAUAUUUCAAUAAAAAAGUGAACCAACGUUAUUUCUAGAGGGAUUUCUGAGGUCUGAAAAGCACGCAGAGAAGGCAAACAUAUUAACACAUCAGCUUUCUCCUAUAUGGAAAAUUUGUUGAAUCUGUGUUCAUCAUUAACUUAUAUUAAUGACACUACAAGAAGCAGAAAAAUUAGCCGUCAUCUGUGCAGUUCAAACAUGGUCUUCUUUAGUUAUUUGAUAGAUAAUUUGCACUUUAUUUGUGAAUACAUACGUCAGUGGUUUGUCGAUGCUGGACGUCAUAGUGUAGGUUCUUAUGCAAGUAACAAUUUAAUUCUUUGCUUGCUCCUAUAAGCCUUGCCUAAUGCAAUUUUUUUGAAUUUUGAAACAGAACACCGAACCCUGCUCAAGAAUCUUCCAAAAUGCAGAGAGUUUCCAUGCCAGGGCAUGUUUCGCAACUGCAAGGAAGUAGGUUUACUCAAAACGGAUGGCCAAAUGUGCUCCAUCAAAACCAAUCAAAAAACAUCCCUACGUUCAUGGACGAUUUCAAAUAUGGUUUUCCAGAAAAUGGUCUAUCGUCAACUUCAUUCAAAUGGUGGGGAAUCAGCAGGCUAGAAGAAACCGAAAGGACCGUGCCAGGAGAAGGAGAAACUACGACCGAGAAGGAUGACAAUCAAGAGGUACAGGACUCAUCAAAUGAAGGCGAAGAACCUGAUUCUGGUGCAGAGGACAAUGUUAUCGUAACCAAGCCAUCUGCUUUGCUGUGCUCUCUGAGAAGAAAAUCUGUUGAAUAUGGGCGCGAGUCACUCAAGAGAGGGAUUUCGGUUGCCGGAAUACCCAACAAACUCACGAAGAGGCAGAAGCUAACAUUAUCCCAAGUAUUUGGGUCAUCUUUACCAGAGGAAUGGAAGGAAAACUUCUCGUGAUCCUUCUUCACUGAGUAAUUUAAUUUCCAUGACCAAAUGACAGGAGUCUGUUCUCGACUAGGCAUCGGAAAGACGAUACUUUAUUAUCAAACUCGAUCGUUUUCUAAUCCUAACUGCAGUUUCCUUGUCACAACCUCGAGUGUUUUUUGCCUGUCAUCUUCUUGUACAUCCUAGUUUGUCUUCCUUCUUGGUGAGAAGGUUAUCGCUUCAUCUAUCUUCAGCUUCAUGGAAUGGCAAUGAGAAAAUCUGAAAUAAGAUAAUAUUGCAUGUCGAAUUAAAAUCCUUUGCUCAAAUCUGCUGCUUGUAGCUGAGCAUUAUAAUUAUAACUUAAUUGGUGUGCUUAUGAUACAUAUUCAUGAUCGAGAAAUAUUUUACCGAAGGGCAUCAGAUAAAAGUUAAUGCAAACUACAUAUUCUAGUGUUUUGUACAUCUCGGUCCUCUCAGAUCACAUGCGAACUGUCGCAUUCCAACACAGCCCGAACGAGCUCGUUCCACAGUGAGACUCGCACGCUUCUUGAUGGUGAUCCAGCUCAGGAUUGCUUGGCCUGAAGCGAAGCUGUCGGUGCCCGUGUUCUGUACGUGCCACCCAUUCCGUCCUUCGAAUUCAUGUAGGCAACAGUGCGAAGCUUGUCUUCAGGUGGAUCAUACUAGAUUUAUAGUACUGAAUCAUGAGAUAAAUUCCUAUGUUUCGCUCCUCAUGAUGAGUAGGAUUUCAAGUGCAGGAGCGCUCGAAGGUGAUCUUUUUUUUUUUGUUUGUUUACUUGGAUGAUAAAGACUCGAGCUUAGCUUACUGGGCACGAAUGAAUGAAUGGAUUAUUUAGUCGAAUAGGCAGCUUUGCAUCACGCUUUUGUCGAGUCACUUAGUAAAACCUUGUGCAGUGUAUGUCCCCAUCUUUCUUCCACGUGAAAGCUGCAACCCUUGCAGACGAACUCUUUGAAUCCCACAUGACAUCCAUACCUCCGGUAGAAAACUUCUAAAUGCAUGCAGAGUUCGAUUGUGGAAGAAAUGCUGCAAGAUGUGCUACAUUUAUCCUGGAAUCAAUUAAAGGUUUCUCUAAUAGCAAGACAACAACAAAUUCUCACUACAACCAACCAGAAUCAGAUCCAUCAUAACAAUGCAGAAAGCCACUCUUCGGUGUUGUCUUCUUGGUUGGGGUUCAGGCAUAACCGCAGCUCCCAUAACCUGCAAAAGGUAAGAGAGAACAAAUGUGUGUGAGAUCUACAUGGGUGUCGUUCGAAUGGGGCACAUGAUCGGAGAUCUCACUUGGGUCGGUGGCGACCACGAGGCCGGAGUUCUUGAAGAAGCAGUUCCACGGGUUCCUUCCUCUGGACUGGUAGUAGAGGUUCAUGGCGAUGGAAGCGUGGGACAUGAGGUUGUCCGGGUAGAAGCACGUGCGGCCCCUCUGCAGCACGCUACAGUCCACCUGAGAGCAGGCGUAGUUGAUGUUUCCCAGAAGAGUUGCUUCGUCCGACGAAGGUUUCGCUACGCACCAAGUUUUCUGCAACAAAGCAACGACAACGUCUGCAUCGACUUCCAUGACAUGGGGUGGAAUGGACAAGACGAGCACAGUUCGGGAAGCAAAAUGCCGAACAACUACAGUUAGUGAGGCGCAUAAUUAGGUCCGUCGGUGUUACCUGCCCCUGCACCGACUGCAUUCCCCCUGUCAUCACAAGGUUUAGAGCAGAGAUCAGAAGAAGAUGGCGACAAACAGCGGCUAAGGGAUCAAGCAAGUCACGAGCUAACCUGUGGCGAAGCAGAUCAGGAGCAGCACAAAAGAGAGGAAGACGAAGGAGGGAGUUCUCGCGGCUCCUCUUGCCAUUUCUCUACCCCUUCUGUUUGCUGGCCGUAGGAGGAGGGAGGAGAUCGAACCUGGUCGUCUUCUUCAGCGUGGAAGCGAGACCGAGAGCGAGCUGUCGAUGAUGGGGGAUAAGAAAGCAAGCUCCCUGACCGGGCCCGGAGUGGGACCCGGUCAGAAACAUGUUAUUAGAGACCUACGAGUCGCGCAUACUCCACGUGGCCUACGUGUCGGUGGCCGCGCUGGUUUGGAUUCUCGGGCGAGCCCGACAAGAUUGCGAAAAGUGGGCCCCAGAGAAACGCCUCGUGACACGAUUUGGGUCCCGAUUCCGUCGCAUCUCCGAUGGCACCUCAGCUUAACGGACCUUUUCGCCUCUCUUCCCUCCGGCGAGCCACAGUGCAACCAAAAAGGAGGGACCGACUCUACUUUUUGCCCUUUGGGUCUCCUCAACGCUGUGAAGAGAACGAUGCUUCUUGUUCUGCGUACAUCACUGCUUUUCCAGCAUUCAUCUCUUCACAUGCCAUCACGUUGCCCUUCCACGGACCGUCCCGUGUUUCCUAGCCUUUGUCACGGUUCAUCCCCAGACAUUUCUGUGUGCCAUGUGAAUGUUCUCUGGUGCAGCAAAUUGCUGCAUUGGCUACUGAUAUCAUGUGCAGACAUUGCAAUCCUGAUAUCAUGGAAUCCACUGCCAAUCUAUACCUUGGUUCAUCAAUACGUACCCAAAUUUGUUGAACUGUCCCACAUGAGCAUGAAGAACACGAAAAUAAAUUAAUACACUUUUAAGAUUGCCAAAUCCACUUGCAUUUGAUUACAUCAUUAGUUCAAUGAACCAGUCUGAUAUACGAUUCUAUAGAAACGCAGAUGUCCGAAUAGUACAACAGAAAGUUUGAUCAUCAUGAGCAACCAUAUAGGUAGGUAAUUUCUUCAGAAGAACGAGGAACCAACUUAGGCGGAAACCUAAGACCCAAAUCUUUCUCUGUCGUGCGGAGAAGAAUAAUCUACACCGGGACCAACUGGAAUUAUCCCAAACGGAUUGAUAGAAGGAUGGCUUCCGUAGUAGUGCUUCUUUAUGUGUGCCAUAUUCACCGUGCUGCUCAUGCCUGGAAUUUGGUAUAUGUCUUUGGUGUAAUUGAACAAAUUUGGAUAUUCACGCAAUUGUUUUUUGUUGCACUUGAAAUGAACAGUAUAGACCUGUGGAAAUCACAUAUAGUUCAGUGAUCGAGUGGGCAUCCGAAAUAACAUACUAUAGUCUAAUGGCCUAAUUUGAUGAUGCUUUUUAAAAGUACAGUCGAUAGGUUGAAAACCAGAAAUCUAUCGAUACCAGUCAUAAACUAGUUUACAGAUACGAGAAACACGGAAGCAUAGUCAAUAUUUAUCCAGAUUCCAAUGCAAAUAAUAAAGCACCUUAGUAGACAUUUAAGACAUCAGAUUCAACAGUAUCUUAAUAAAAACAAAAGUGUCUUCCCCUGUGAUUAGAGCAACCUAUUGAAUCAGAACAUAAAUGUUUUGUUGAGGGUGUGCUUACAAUUCAAUCUAACUAUAAUUGGGGAAGAGAUGGCACUAGCCAUUCCACCAAAAGUUACCAGAUGAAGUUUCAUCUGUAGUUUCAAUGGUGUGAAAUUCAGAUGUGCCACUAAAGGUCUCACAUUGUCUUGUUUUUUAAUUUUUAUUGGUUUCAUGGCAAACAUAGCAAAGCUCCUUCCACCCUUCCUUGGUCCCAGAUAUCUUUGAACCCUUAGAUUUCCAUUUUGUCUCUUGUUAUGAGCCUAAAAGAUUUUCCUUUUUCGAGAUGGGUAUGCAAAUCACAUUGAUUAACACUGGGCCAAACAGAAUGGUUGUGGACAGGCAUUUACAAGAGCUCAGAUAGAUGUCUGUUCUGCUCAUAACUUUCUGAUAGAUGGAACAUUAGCAUACAAACAUGAUGAAUCAGACUAACAUUCUUUUGGUUUCUAAAGGUUAAGCAGAAUUAGUUGUAGUCCAGCUCAUUAAGGCCACAGGCCGCUAAGGUUCAUCCAUAUGUAUGGCCUUUGCCAAUAAGCUAAAUUCAAAUUUCCAAUUAGAAAAAGGAAUAUCAUUUUUUCCACCCAAAUGAGAAACAGCCACCUCCAUGGGUUAAUACUUUGAAGCCAGUGCAGAUAUUAUGGUUAAAACAAAUCAAACAGAUUUAGUCCUGUCUUCCUCACUGGUCAGUGUCAAGGUCACAUGGUUACAUCUUACUCCGGCUAAAAUUAAGUUUCUGACUAGUUAUAUCAUCUUAAAACUUGCUUUUGUCAAAUGCAUAGGACACUGCCUCAAAAUAUUCUCUUAAACAAGUCUUGCAAAACAAUCUGUGCACUGUACAAACAUCAAAAUAGGAACAAUCAGAUGCCUAAAGCAAUCAUUUGCUCACACAAAAAUCUUAUUUUGCAUAUUGAAUUCCAUAAAUUAUACACAAUUGAUUGUAUAUUCUAACAAAAAUAAACCGGAAAAAAGACAAAGCAUCAGCUCACUUUUCAUGAUGUUAGGCUGUGUUAAAUUUUGAGGUACAUACCUCAUCGAACCUGAUGAGAGUGACAAACAAGCGAACGUCAGCUUCAGUUAGCGUAUUCCCACAAAUAUAUCGUUGCUUGCUGAGAGUCUCUUCACAUUUGUCCAAAGCAUCAAAUAAUUUUUCAACGGCCUAGACAACCAGAAAGUAGUGAAAAGGCUGUUUUCAUGAUUUAAAGAUUGAUAGUCAUAUAAUCCACUUCAAGUGAAGGAAAAAAAAAAAUCAGUUGUAGUAGAUAGUUACCUCGUCAUAAGGACCUUGUUUCUUGGCAAAGCCACAUUUGUAUACCCCAUUAUUUAUCGUGUCAUAUAUCCAUUCGUUGACCUCAUCUAUCAAAGCUUGCAUAUGAGAUGGAUAUAAAUCCAGGUCUGCAUUCUCAGCUAUAUCGUUAAACUCGGUGUUGAACAUACGGAUUAUUUCUGCACUCUCAUUGCUCACAAUUGUUUUAAGUUUUUUAUCCCACAGAACCUGCCAAAUAAGAUAAAGCGAAAGGAAGGUCACUUGUUGAGUACACUGAAAGAAAAAAAAAAAAAGUAUAGUUCAAUAGACAGAAUACAUACAGGCACCGUAUAUUUCCCCAUAUAGUUUGAGCUAGCCAGCUCAUAUAAUUCCCUAAUACUUUUGGCUCCAUUCAAGGGAUCAGGUUCAGCUCCAGGUUCUUCUGUACUAGAAGGGAAAACCCAUCCAAAAUGUUCAUCGCUCUCCUUUGUCCUUUCCCAUAUUGGUUUGACAGCCUAUCAGAUGCAAUUGCUCAAAUGUUAUUAUAUAUUUUCCUAAGAUAAACAUUCCUCGGAUAUAGAGAGUCACCGUGUAACUGAUGGCCUUGUCAAGUCCUUUGAGCUUCACAAAUGAAAGACAUCUUGAUGCCCAAGGACAUGCAUAUGAUAUAUACAAGUGAUACCUUCCAGAUUCUGCAGGAAAUUGAGAAGUCUUGUCUUUUGAAAUAAAAUUGCGGAAAGUUGAUGGUGUGCGAUUGAAUGCACCAGAUUCUGUCAUCUCAUCUAAUGCUGAUCGAGCCAUCUUAAGAAUGUAAUGAAAGACAUAAUAUGGUCAAACAAGAAGUGGAAGAAUGUCGAAGAAUAAAAACCUCAUCCAGUAUACAAAAGUGUAACGAAAGUGAGAUGAGAGAAAAUAUUGACAUGUACAUCAAUCAGAAGUUGAUAGGAAAGCAUUAUAGGAUUUGUGAAGAGAAAAUAUUGACAUGUACAUUAUCCAGGAGUUACGGGUGCUGUCAAACCUUGAUAUAAAUAAAAAACAUAGCCCUAACUUUCACAAGGUUGCUUCGUAUUAGUAACUUACAUCCCAGCCAGCAAAACCCAACUAACACAGAAUGUGGUGUGUCAGGAUGCCUUCAGAAUGACAAUACACACUAUCUUAAUGAGACAGUUGCAAGAUGCUGAGAUGAGGCCCAGCACUCAAAACAUUCUGAUGAAUAAGAAGCAAAUAAUAGAGGUUCACAUUACAAUCUACUGCAUCUAUAUUUCAAGAGUUCUAUUACAAUUUUCAGGAGAUGCUUGAAAUUUAGUCUUAUUUAGUAGCUUUCUAUUGUUAAGUUGUAAAAAAAUUGAGUUAACUUUUAGAUGGCUUUUGGGUGGUAAAGUCAUGUCUGGACAUAAGACAACCCAAGUUAGAUAUGAAUUUGAAACACUAGAAAACAAAAAGACCUAUUUUUAUUAGUCGACACAUUUUGGUUAUGUAUACUUCUCGCACUUGAUCCCUGUUUAUUCCAAUUAUUGUAUAGUGUUGAAAAACAGGGUUCCAUACUAUAGACUUCCACCAAAUGGCACGGCACGUCAAAACACAACCAGAACAUAAGACACUGGGUCUGUAUCACAUAACCUUUCUCUAGCACUUGCAUUUACAUGUGGGAGAACAACCGCAAGGAUUUUAACUAUGAAAAGACCUCCCACAUAGCAAUGUCAACAACUCAAACUCAUAAUAUCCAAUGAAUUAAAAGCAAAACCCCUCGAAAGUAUAUUUUCUGCUUCAAGUUAGAUUGAUUAUAUGUUAUUACUUUAUCCAUCACAAUUAGGCAUAUAAACCUUAAUAGUAAUGAAUAUCCAUAGUGGAAGCAAAAUACAGAGAUGCUGCAGCAUUGUGCUGCUUCUACAAUUGGAAUUUUGAAAGAUGCCUCAGUGAUAGUAGCAAUACUCAAUAGAUGCUAGGCGUAAGGAAAGAAUUCUAAACCAUUUUAAGGCAUGAAAUCUAACUCAGUUUUUAGGGGUCUUUGUUCCCGUUCUAUGUUUGCAUAUAAAACAUAGAAUAAUUGCACUACUGAAAGUAAAUUUCUUGUUUGUAAUCUUUCCUUGAGCCAAUUGGAAAUUGUGAUAAGGAACGAUUUUACAUGAUGAUUGGUCUUGAUCAAAUGGAUCAGAGCACAUCAGAAAUUUAGUUGUUUAGUCUCGUUUUCUUGAACCCUCCCCUUCGUGUUCCAGCCUUUGCCCUUUUAAAACGAGCUUGUUCAAAUGAUCCCACUUGAAAAUCCUUUUACUCGAAUCCAUCGGCUAUUUGCUCAUCAUCUCCUUCUUCCACGAAUUCCAAAAUCAAGAGGACCCGUAUCACUCUAUACGAGUAAUCAACAUGGGCCAUCUGCCACAACGACUACAUAUGCCUCGACAAUUACCCUAAAUACCAACUUUCUAUACGAAUAAUAUGAAGGUCAUCUACAAAUCAAGAUCCAUAGAAGAUGAGAAAACAGUAACUUACACAUGUUAGUUCCAAUGGGAGAUUAGUAAGCAAGUAACGCUAGUAAAUUGGCAGGACGCAAUCGCUCAUACAAGCGGGAAAGAAGGGAUCUAAAUCGCACCUUGGAGGAGAAGGAUCGGGUGACGAUGAAGCGAGAACAGGACGAGAUCAUGCAAAGCCCCCCGACGCUGUCAUAAAUCUGUGGAACGGGAAAGUAGAAGAAACCUAAUCUUUCCACUGAUGGAGCGAGGGCGGCGACCGGGAUUGGUGCGUGACGUGGCGGUUGCCCAGCUCCAUCGCCGCCAGGUUGACUACCGGCGGUACGUGAUUCAACUGCUGCACGGCACGUCAUGGCAUAGCAUAGCGGAUCCAAAUCCUCUCCAAUUCUUACCCGUUAUGAACCCUCCGCUAUCGUCUAUAUCCGUGCUCAGCUGGUCACUUCCGCUGUCUAGGUUGAGGCAGGGAACAGUUUUAUCAGCCAUCAGCCAUCCGUCAAUCGUCAUCUUAUCGUUAAGUGCUGCGAACCGUGAUCCCUGGUCGCGACAGGUAAGCCUCAUCCCGUCAGACACAAAACCCAGGGCUACUUCAAACGCGACAUAAGUCACCGCUUCAAUCGCAACCGUUGAUGUGCCCGGCAAGUGGUGCGUGGUAAGGUCCGUCGGCUUCUCUGUGUGAGCCGCGACUUAGGUUUGUCAGAAAGGUCCUGUUUUGACUCGUGCCGGUGAGUUCUCCUUUGAUUGCGUUUAGCCGCAGAUGGGAGAGGCGUUCCGAAUCCCCCGCUAUCCUCUCCGCCUUCCAGCCGUCAAUCGGGUGGCUCAUGGAAGCUCCCUCUUAUGCAGAAAUGUCAUCUGCGUGGAGGUCUUGAAUUGGAUGCCUGUAUCUUUUUGUUUAUCUCACAAAACUAAGCUAUACAAACCACUGAGCUCUUGAGAACGUCCAAAAAAAAGAAAUUGAUCUUUUUACAGCUUGACAGUUCCUCCCAAAAAGAAAAGCUUCCUCAUCCAUAUUGAAAGUCGAUUCAGAUGUUGAUUGAUUUAUAAGAGUUAUUAAUUUGAGUUUGAGCAUUUUUAACUGUGCACGUUGUAGAUGGAUGUAUCAAAGUUUUGUACACGGAUGUAUAAACUUUGAUAGUGUUCAUUCACACAGUGUUUGAGGGAUACUGUGGGGAAAAUAAUAUCUCAACAUCUAAAUUGGAGAUAUAGUCAACAUAAAAUAAAAGAAAGAUAAAAUCGAUCGGAUUGCUACUCUGCCAAGAUGACGUUUCCACCAUUUUUAUUGGACCAGAGCAAGACCACAUCAUCUAAUUCAAGAUUUCUAGUUGCAUCUGGAAGCUUCUUCGCCCUUUGGCAGCGAGAACAGAUGUGUGGUAGCAAACCUCGGAGACACUGCGACCACCGAAAUCGACACAAGAUCCAACGAGUAUCUCACUCUAAGUUGUGGAUGAUGGACUGCCAGACGCUGGAACUCAUCCGCCACCUGAAACUUCAGUAGCCAAUCAAAACCAAGAUAAAGAUUUCCAUGGAUAAGGACUCCCAUCCCCUCUUCUGCUAUUAAACCCCUGCAGCCAUCACCUCUCACAGCAGGCACUCCUCCAAGGCUUUUCCUUCUACUUCACCACCCUCUCCCUGAUCCAACCAUGGCUGCCACAAUGGCCCUCUCCUCCCCCUCCCUCGCUGGUAAGGCCGUCAAGCUCGCUCCCUCGGCCUCCGACAUCCUCGGCGAAGGCCGCAUCACCAUGCGCAAGAGUGCCGCCAGGUCCAAGCCCGUCUCCUCCGGCAGCCCCUGGUACGGCCCCGACCGCGUCAAGUACCUCGGCCCCUUCUCCGGCGAGCCCCCCUCCUACCUGACCGGUGAGUUCCCUGGCGACUACGGCUGGGACACCGCCGGCCUCUCCGCCGACCCCGAGACCUUCGCCAAGAACCGGGAGCUGGAGGUCAUCCACUGCCGCUGGGCCAUGCUCGGCGCCCUCGGCUGCGUCUUCCCCGAGCUCCUCGCCCGCAACGGCGUCAAGUUCGGCGAGGCCGUCUGGUUCAAGGCCGGCGCGCAGAUCUUUAGCGAGGGCGGCUUGGACUACCUCGGCAACCCCAGCCUGAUCCACGCCCAGAGCAUCCUCGCCAUCUGGGCCUGCCAGGUCAUUCUGAUGGGCGCCGUCGAGGGCUACCGUAUCGCCGGUGGCCCGCUCGGCGAGGUGACCGACCCCCUCUACCCCGGCGGCAGCUUCGACCCCCUCGGCCUCGCCGACGACCCGGAGGCGUUCGCAGAGCUCAAGGUGAAGGAGAUCAAGAACGGAAGGCUGGCCAUGUUCUCCAUGUUCGGGUUCUUCGUGCAGGCCAUCGUCACAGGGAAGGGGCCGCUGGAGAACCUGGCGGACCACCUGGCGGAUCCGGUGAACAACAACGCUUGGGCCUACGCCACCAACUUUGUCCCCGGGAAGUGAGAGGACAUGCAUGCUUCAGCUCCCCCUAUCAUUUCCCACCGAGUCUCCUUUGUGCUCUCAUGAACGUAUCUGUAAAUUAAUCUGAUGCUUUGUGUUUUCUCGUAUUACCAAAUGCUCAAGUUUACUCAUAUAAUAUAAAUAUAAUAUAAUAUAUAUAUAUAUAGUAAUAAUCUUAAUAUUUGGAAGAUAUAUUAAAAUUUGUAGGGGCCCAGCAAGUGGGAGACAUGGCCCACAGUUCCGGCCCACGGAGGGCGUUCGUUAUUUCGGUUACCAUUUCGAGACGGUUUCUUGAUGGGUUGAAAUGACCUACCCACGCCGAACCCUCCCUUCUCCAACCGAGAGAACCCUAAUCUCUCCGAUUCCCGCCUCUUCUCUGCCUCCAUGGCGAAGCCACCGAGUUCUACGAUCUCCUCGAUGCGCCAACCUUUUCCGCGGAUCUCUAACCCAACCAUCAUCCUCCCCAGGAAAUUCCUCAGGAUAUCCCGCCAAUCCGCCUUCAAACCGGCGAUCGACGUCCGCCCCUUCCCCCUCCGCUUUGGAGGACGAUGAGGAGUAGGAUAUCGCGGUCUUUGAAUGUCGUUCUUGAAAUCCUAGCAACGCUAAAGAAGAUGGCGGUCGCUGGCCCUGCUCUUGGGUUUGUUCUUGAUGACGAGGAGGAGGAGAUGAAGGGUUUCGAUCUCUUUGAUUGCCGGCCUUCGAAAGCCGUUCGUGAAAUCUUAGCAACCGCUAAUGGGAUAACGGUCGCUGGCCCUGCUCUUGGGGUUCUUACUGUUGAUGGCGAUUGGUCCGCUUUCUCCGGUGGGUGACGGGAAGUGGUGAGCUGUUUCUUCUCUUCGCUUCGUCCUGCUCCACAUCGUCGUCAUGGUUAUGAUCAUCUUUAGCGUUUUCACACCGUUGAACCCAUCUUGUUCUAGAUCUUCAUACCGCUUUUUGGUGUUCAUCCGUUUCUUUUUCUCCAGCAACUGGAACCAAAAACAGGAAAAGCAUGAUCAUAUUCUAGAUACAGUGGUUAUAUUCAUCGUAUUGGUUCUUGGGAUGGAGAAGCUUGACUUCAAGCUUCAUCUAUAGUGGGUUUCUGGUCUUGUAUCUUUCACUAAUGUGGGUUUCUUAUGUUGCUAGGAAGUUAUUUGCCUCUUUAUGUUUUUCCUUCUUUCUAAUUUGUUCUUGCUAAAUUCGCCAACCUUCAUUUUCUUUGAAGUGAAUUAUGUGCUCUCUGUUGAGUCUGAGUUGAGAAUGUAAUGCUGUUGUAAAAGAUCCAUUGGAAUGUACAUUAUACUUUCGGUGGAUUGAAUUGCUCAGUGUCACAUAUGGUUGCUGGUAUUGCCCAUAAGCAGAGAGAGUCCAUAUGUACAUUUGUACCCUGUGAUGUCCAGAUAUCUUUUCAUAAGCAUGGUUGUGGCUCACAAGAAUUCUUAAGUCCUUCUUAGAUGAAUCUCUUAAUUUAAACUUUUCUUAUCACAAACAUGUUACACAAUAUGUUCAUGCAGUAUCUGUUUUCAUGUUGGCAUAUUGGGUGCAACAACCUCAGGCAGAUCUUAAUCAGAUUGCUUGUGCUGCUAUUACAUCUACCAUUGAAGGCUUAAGUUCUGCAUUGAGAGGUAUAAAAAGUUCAUCAUCUUUAUGUGAUUACCAUUGUUUUAGGAUAGACAAUAAUAUUGGUUGCUUCCAAUGCUUGUUUAUAGAGGGCAAACCCUUAGUGUCAGAGUUAGGUUGUUCUCUUGCGAGGUGAGUGACCAAGGUUCGAUUCCAGAAACUAGCUUCUUUACUUAUUAGAAUGAAGCUGCAUAGAUGCCAACUUUCUAUUCAGAAAAAUAAAAAUUGAAGGAUGCCAACACUCAACAUUAUUUAAAAAUUUUGGAUUGUUUAGACCAUUAUCAACACUAUACAGGUUGACCUGUUAUACUCUGACAAGAUUCUGGUUUCAGUAUAGAACCGGUAUCUUCUGAACUUGUGUACAUGUAUAUGUGUCUUGUGCAUAUGUAUGUAUAUACAUAUAUAUAUAUAGUAUAUAAGCACAUGCAUAUAUAUUGCUAAACAUUUACUUGAACUCUUGCUGCAUGCCACCAACAUUUCAUUUUACAUCAUUCGGUUUUUACAGUCACCAGUUGUUUGACUAAUGCUCAGAGUGCUUGUCAUAAUUCUAUGCUCUCACAAAUGUUUUCUCAACAUGCACAAGUGUCUUGUGAAGAUUCCAAUUCUUCUUACUUUUUAAUGCAAGGCAAAAUUUUUUCUUGAUGUGAUAAUAGUAGAGAAUGAUCCAAUGAUCUGAUACUGACUAAUGUCGCAAAAAACCAUGAGUGGUAAUCAGAGUUUGACAAUGGGGUUUAUAGGUCCAUGGACAAGGUAUAAGGCUAUACUUCCAGAAACAACAGUGUGUUAAUCUGGGAAUUAGGUAGUUUUGUGGACUAAAUGGAGUAAGAGGCCAACACUUAUUUUCUUCCUUUGUACCUUUUUCUUCCUCCCCUCAACAUCUUGUUCUACUUCUACCCAUAUUUGUGAUUCUGUUUUUAAGACGUCUUUUGGUAUCUAUCUGUUCAUGGUUGCGUCCUGACUGCAAGUCAUUUAACAAGUUGGACAAGUAUGUUUUCUGUGAUCACAUCAGUUUGGAGCUCAAGGUCAUGGCUACAAACCAGCUAAGAGCAGUUAGAGGCAUGCUUUGUCCUGGUACAUUUUCUGCAAUCACAUCACUGGAUCAUGAAAAUUCAUAAUAGUAAUAUUGAUUUUGAUAGGGCAUAUAACAACCACAUAGCAUGUCUGAAAGUUUCAAGCAGGUGAAGUACUUGUAAGCUGUAGCAAAUUUCAAGGGUCUUCUCUUAUAGUAUCUUGGAAGCCAGUGGAUUGAAAUGCUUUUUAUCUGGAUCAAAAUGUAUCUUGAUAUUAUUCUCUUAGACGCAUUAUAGUUGUCUUUUAAUUAAGCUGCCUUUGCUGCCUCCUUGUUCCCUUUCUAGAUAAUUCUUGUCAGUAAGCAUUUUGAGACUUGUAUAGGCACUACAGAAUAUCGGUGCAAUUCCAACAUAGUUAUGGUAGUGCGAGACAUACUAGACAAUUAUAUUUGUUCAUGACAUAGUGAACAUGUAGAACUCUUAGUAUAGGGCAAUCUGGUUUAACCUUUUUUAUCUGGUGUAAUUACACUUGUCUCUCUGCCAUAGGUUGUAAAGGUGUCGUGAAUGUAUCAAGAUGAAAACCACCAGCUUUCAGAAAAGGAGCUGCUUAGAGACUGUCAACUUUUGAAGCCUUUUAAGGUAAAAUUAUUUCAUAAUUGUUGCAGGGUACCAUUUGUUAGAUGGUGAACUUACAAGGACGUGUGAUUGCUCCUUUUAAGGUAAAACAAACAUUCAAAACCACAAGUCACAUUUUGAAUGUUUGUUUUUGAUAGUUGACUCUGAUUAGGCUAUGGAACUCAGCAUAAGACUCGAGAAAUUUGCUGAUGUAAGAACUCCUUUCAGAUGAUUUAUGUACGUGCUGGUUCACCAUGAAACUUGUAGAUAUGCUAUUUUGAUUUGAAGUCCCAUAUAUUUUUAUUAAAAUUUUUGCAUCCUGGUUUCUUGAACUCGUAUAUUUCUAUUCAUGGCACUAAAUAUUCUCUAAUAUGGCAUAUUAUUUUGUGAUUGGUUUUGGGCCAUUAGGAAGGUCGGUAAGAUGCGAAUGUUAAAUGGCAACAUUGUACUGUGAUCAAACUGAGUCCAGACUCGAAAUGUUAAAUGGUAAUAUUGUGCUAUGGUUUUAUUUUUGCUUUGGUUUUUCCCAUGCUCAAGAAGAUAAAGAUUUUUUUCAUGUUCUUUUUUUUUUUUACUAAGAUUUAUCAAGUAAAUUGGUGUCGAGCAAAUUGGUAAUGGUUGUCCAGUUCAAGAAUUUGGAAGCUGAACCAACUUACAACAUCAGCCUGGAUUACAACCUCUGUACAUCAUCAUAUGUUGAGACACUUCACUGCCAAAAAGUUGAACCAACUUAUUAGACGUACAAGUGUUCUUUAUAGAUGAGCACAUGUAAUAGGAACACAAGUAUCUUACGUUAAUCAUAUAUUACAAGGAUAUCGUUCUCAGUGACAAGACCUCUGCAUUGAUAUUUGUAUAUCAAUGCAUCCACGGGUAUCUUUCACUGCAUCAAAUAUCAAUAAUUGUCGACCACUGUGGUGUGCUGGAGACAGCAACGCCGUCCACAAAAUAUCACAGAUAGGAUCUGUUUCACCUCCGCUGUGUGCAUGACAGUUGAGUUGGUGACCAAUCAAUAUCGGUAGGUCGCUGCUGUUAACUCUUCUUGUCCUGGCUUCCCUACGCCGAGCCAACAGCAUUAACGAGCUCGCGCCCCACCGUCUGCGCCGCACGACGUACGUACAUCAAAUUCAUGUGCCUCAGCCAACUCCGUCGUCGAGCCACAGAUGGAAGCGUCAUAUUUAUGAUCGUAAAGCCUAUCUUGUUGUCGUAAGGUUUCGAACGGGAGGCCUUCAUUAAAUACAGAUUCCCAAACACAUCGGUACUACCGUGAAAUCAAAAGCCGUGGUGUUGACUGGAGCAACUUUGGCCUCUGCUUUGUAUUAGUAUCUUCCAAUCUAUUCUUCCUCACUUGUUCUUUUCUCCAACACUUCUUCUGGUACGGACUCAUUCCCCUCUGCUUUUCCUUUCGGUAACUUUCUCGUAUCUUUUUCUCUUCGUAUACAAAUCUUCCUUGCGGCAUGUCGGUAAUGUGCAGGGUUUCAGCUUGCAUGAUGAAGAUGGGCAGAGCAUUCCCCGCAUGCCUCCUCCUCCUCACACUCGUUGUCUGUCUUCCGGGUUCCGCCAACGGCCUCGUCAGGAUUGGGCUGAAGAAGAGGCCGCUGGACCGGAACGGCCGGCUCGCUGCGCGGCUGUCUCACCCGGAGGAGCUCGGUGUCCUAGCCGCUCGUAAGUAUGGCCCCCUCCUCCGCGACAGUCUCGGUCUUGAGCACGGCCCGGACGGACCGGCGGAGCCGGACGACGGCAACAUUGUCGCCCUCAAGAACUACAUGAACGCUCAGUACUUCGGGGAGAUUGGGAUCGGUUCUCCGCCGCAGAACUUCACGGUCGUCUUCGACACCGGGAGCUCCAAUUUGUGGGUUCCGUCCUCCAAAUGCUAUUUCUCGGUGAGCCAACUCACAAUACUGAUUGAUUUGAGGAAAGUCAUGAAGGGAAUAAUUAUGGUGGUUUUGGUUGCGCAGGUCGCCUGUUUCUUCCAUGCCAAAUACAAAUCGGGCCGGUCGAGCACCUAUCAGAAGAAUGGUUCGUCUCUAUUUUUGUUUAUCUAUCCACUGGCAGGAUCUUGAUAUCAUAAUCAACGUCAUUUUUAUUCUAUUGGUAGUUGGAACAAAUAGUCAUCACAAGUAUUUGGUAAUCAAUUCCACUAUACAUAUAAUUCCUUACAAAAUGAAAUAUCUAUAACUUCAUUUACUUCUGAAACCUCACAUGUAAUCUUUGCUGACAUGUCUUAAUAUUUAUUUAAAUGGUUGAUGCAACAAAUAGCCAUUGCAAUUACCUGGGAUCUGAUUCCAAUAUAGCUGACUUCUCAUAAGAUAAGUUUCAAUAACUUCAGACACUCCUGCAUCAUGCUUGAGUAGAAAUUUGGAAUCCGUCAAUGAUACAUGUUUGUUUGUUGUGUGGAUAUCACUGGUUUAGAUUUACCACAUGCAUGCUCAUACUCUUGUUCUUAAAGGUCAGAUCUAAGUGAACCAAUUAUUACUUAUUUUUAGUUAACAGAACUUCAAAUAGUAUUAUUUUUCAUUCAACAACUAACCCUCGAGUUUUCAGAUCUGUGAGGUCGAUUUCAAUAUGUUCUAUAAUAACAGUGUUUUUUUACUUAUAUUUUAUGAUUUUAAAAGGCCAGAUCUUUGUGACUGGCAAUUUUUACCUGUUAAUUUUUCAUCACUGCUGGCCACUCAUAUAGGAUAGUCUUCAUUAAGCAAAGAAAGGGACAGAAGCUUGCAAGAACACGAUAAAUAUUUUGCAAUGCUUUAUACCUUCAGGUGCACUCGAACUAUAAAAUUUUCUGUUUUUCUGUGCUUCUCUGUAGAUUAUUAUCAUUUUGUAUGAUCUAUUAUAUCCUUAAUUGCAUAAUUAGUACUAGUACUUCCACUUUUACUAUUUAAUGCGUACUUUGAAGAUAUAAGAAACCAUAUUUUGAUAUGGAGGUGCCUUUUUUCUAUAUCAUGAUCGACUACCUAUUCGAUUUUAGCAAUGAUUUGAACUGUAAGAAGUUCAAGAACAUUUUCACCAAAAAAUAAUUUUAAGAAAAUAUUGAGUUAUUUAACUUAAUGUAUAGAUUCUGCCAUCUGUUCACAUGGUUAUACCUUCAUUUAGGCCUUUAAACCACCUGUGCCUUAUGGACUUCUAGAUUUUCUUAUACGGUUAUAUCUUGACUCAUCAACAUAAAUGUAGGCUUUUUUCUCAUGGCUACAUAUCAGCAUACACUAACAUUUCAGUUUGUGCUUGGAUUGACCAUCUUAAUUGGUCACAAUAGUUCCUACUCAGUCAUCAUCUUGGAUACGCAUAGCUGUCAUCAGAUAUGUAUGUGGUUAGCUGUGUCUUGGAAGUUCUUGCCGCUGUCCUCUUUGCAUAGCACAUUACACCCAUGUUCAGUAAUAAUCUGGUAUUAUCUUUAAGAUUCUUGAAUGAUUUCCUCUAUAUUUAUGUUACUUUAUAAAUUAGUGUUUUCUUUGGGAAACAAUAUUACUAAUUGUAAGAAUCUAUAAAUUUAUUGCCUUUUUCCUGAAUGUUGAAUGAACAACUUGUUUUUUUGGAGAACACUUCAAACUAAUUCUUUUUAUCUUCUUUUCAGGUAAAACUGCAAAUAUUCACUAUGGGACCGGAUCAGUAUCAGGUUUCUUUAGUCAAGAUCAUGUCACAAUUGGUGACAUUGUUAUUAAGGAUCAGGUCUGGAUCCUAUGGAAUUCCAAUCCCAGUCAAUCAUGCAAUUUUUGCCUUUAUAGUUUCUUAAUCCCAUCGCAUGACAUUGUUGCCAACAAUUAGAUAUGGAGCUUCAUAGGAUUUCAAUCUGAUGUAUUCUACCCCGUGUAGUUUUGGAAGGUUCUAUCUUGUGUAAUGGAUAGUGCAAACUCACAGUGCUGCUAUUUCAGGCCUUCAUUGAAGCCACAAGGGAGCCAAGUAUUACCUUUUUGGUGGCAAAAUUUGAUGGAAUACUUGGGCUUGGAUUUGAAGAAAUCUCAGUUGGCAACGCAGUGCCUAUAUGGUAUGCAGUGCAUAUUGAGUAAUACUGCUUGUGAUUGUCGUUAUAUGAUGGUAUUUCUCCUUUGUUUCUUUGUUUGUUCCUUUCUUAUUUUUGAACAAGAGAUUCCAAAGGCUGUUUCUUUAUGUUAUAGCUUAUAGUAAGUUGGGUUCUUUCCGAUCAGCUUAAGCAUUUAGAACAAAUGGUAACCAAGUCACUAUUAUCAUGGCUCUCCUAUUUAUCCCUAUUUGUUUAAUGUUUCACAGUGCAUUUGCCCAUAUAUGGGUCAUUGCAAAGCCCAUAAACAUUUGGCCCAUAUUUUUAUCUUGCACUUGGGUCCAUGUGUCAGCUCAAGUGCAUUGGCCCAAAUCGGACUAACAUGUGAGGGUUAUCUUAAUUGCUUUUUGUGUGCUUAACGAUAUUGGCCAAACUGUCUGUAAAAAUAAGUUGCUGCAGAUAUAUGAAAGGAAAGAAGAGCUGGAGGGAUCCACCAUCAUUACAUUUUUAACCAAUGGCAGAAAAGACCGUCAGGUUCAAGAACCAAUAACCAUUGUCAUGGAAAGUUAAUAUUUCAUAUUCUAGGCUAUGGCUAAAAACAAUCAAGAAAUGGUCUUGAUGUUCAAGAUGGUCUUAAAAUGAGUGUAUCUAUUUAAAAGACAGAAAACUAAUUAAAAUAUUGGUUUUCAAGGCUUGGUAACAUAUUGGCAAUUUGUUAAGCUUUAGCUGCUUUAUCAUACGGUUUUCCCUCUAGCUCCAGAAAAGGGAGCCGAUGGUUUUAGUUUCUUAUUUGAAGACACGUUUCUGCUUUUAUUAUCUUUUUCUUGUGACUAAGUCAGCUGCAACAGCUGUUUUUUCUGCACCAUUGACUAAACUCAACAUGCAUAUAGGCAAUAAGUUAUUUGAUGUUUAGAUGCUAUAAAGGGUAUAAAUCAACUAAAUGGAUUGGAUCAUCAAUUGCCAACUAGUUAUAAAUCUUAGGUUAGCAGAACACAUAUAUAGAAGAUGCGCUCACAAAUAUGCAUUAUGGGUGGUAUUCUCAUAUAAGGGGAACGUAGGGACCAUCAAUUUAAUUCUGUUUUAUACUGCACACUUUAAUGAAUCUAUAUUCUAUAUUUUCUAUUGUGUUAUCUAUUUGUAUGUGUGCAUGUAUGAGUGGGAGCAUGCAUAGAUGUAUUAUAUUACAUAGUGAUUCUCUAUAAUCAGUUCUUUUAAAACAAAGCAGAGGCUUACUGAAGGCGUGAAAAAUCAGUUUCUGAUCAAAAUUUAUCACUGUCUGAUGUGAACAACUUUGGAGAAAAAAUGCUCCUUGCAUGAGAGACUACAAAGAGAAAUGGAUCCCUAAUUAGUAGUCUUGUGCAAAUUUCCUAAUCAUGCCCAUUCAGGCUAUUUUAUAUCACAGUUAUGCUAUGUGACUAGUUUUUCCUCAACAGAGAUUGCCAACAACAUACCAAAACUCAUCACGCCACAAAUAUUAAUACCUUAUUAUGAUUUUUUAUUUUCAUGUGAUCAAGAAGGGGCUUUGUCAAAACUAUCGAACACUUCUAGAUUUAAUGCUUAUGCUAUUGCUUGUAAUGUUUGCAAUAGGUGUCAAAUUCCGUUCAUCAUGAUUCUAGUGCCAAAAGGAAACUGUCAAUGGAACUUUGAAAUAAAUUAAUUUUAGCUUCUUUUAUUUGACAGGUACAACAUGGUCAAUCAAAGUCUUGUUAAAGAGCCUAUAUUCUCUUUCUGGUUCAACCGGAAUGCGAAUGAAGGGGAGGGAGGUGAAAUUGUUUUUGGAGGGACUGACCGAGAGCAUUACAAAGGCGAACACGUUUACGUUCCCGUAACUAAGAAAGGCUAUUGGCAGGUUGAUUAUGGAUUUUUAUUUGAGCAUACAAGUUUUAGUCUUUCUUUCUGUUUAUGUAAUCUAUUAGUUUUCUUUUGCAGUUUGACGUGGAAGAUGUCCUUGUUGGCGGCCAAACAACUGGUAGUGCAUUCAAGUUCUUUAUUUUUUUUAACAAAAUUUAUUUUAGUGUAAAUAAAUCUUUCAUUUUAUGCUUUUUAAGCUUGGUACAUAUUUGAUUUCAGGAUUCUGUUCUGGAGGAUGUGCAGCAAUUGUGGAUUCUGGAACUUCACUGAUUGCUGGCCCAACAGUAAGUUUUGAAAAAUUACAUGUGAAGAUAUGGCAUGCCUCCCUUUAUAUCUAUUAUUGUAUUUUUAGUUUGCUCUAUAGGCAUUUUUUUUCAUCAUAUCUGUGUGAUAUAUGUACGUGAGAACUUCUUGUGAUACUUCAAAAGUCACAAUUUGCAAGCAAUUCUUUCGAGGAUGGACAAAUGCAGUCGUCAUUUUGCAGUGGCCUGUGUGCAACUUUGAUGCAUAAACAAUUAGUCUGGACCUUAUUUACAUUACUUGUUAUUCAGCAUAGCUACUUCCUAAAAGAUCUAGUAAAUUCUAUUAUCGAAUUCUUGGCUUCUUAUGCAUAAGAAACCAACAGAAACAUAUACUGUAGAAUAUGUAUUCAGGCAGUGAUUAGAAUUAGAAAGUUUGACAAAAAAAUUAUAUAGAAAAAGAUACUGAUUUCCAUUUUAGGAAAUCUGGAAAAAAAAAAUAGGAAAUAACUGACCUUUAAGCUUCUUAUGAAAUAGUUCAGCUAAUGUGCAAAAUCAUAUUGAUAACCUUUAUUCUUCAUAGUCUUGAAGCUAUAAUGUUAAUGGCCAGUUGUGAUUGCCCGUAGUGCCCUUUUUGGUUAAGACCAUAGUUUCUGAUCUGUUAUGUGCAUAAACAUGUUCUUCUUGGAUCUGAAAGUCAUAAUCCCUGUAUGCAAUCUCAUUAAAACUGGUGUAGCUAACAAGUUUUUUGAAAUUUCUUUGCAGACUGUUAUCGCAGAGGUAAACCAGAAAAUUGGAGCGGAUGGUGUUGUUAGCCAACAGUGCAAAGCAGUAGUCGCACAAUAUGGUGAAACCAUUAUGAACAUGAUAUUAGCAAAGGUUCUUACCAUUAUCCUCUACACAGAAUUCUUUUGAAGGACUUCCAUCAAAUGUUUAAGACAAAUGAUUUCAUUAAUUCUGUGGUUCCUGUCGUAGGAAGAACCAGCGAAGAUUUGUUCUAAGAUUGGUCUUUGUGCUUUCAAUGGAACUCAAGGGGUCAGGUUCGCAUCAAUAAAAUGUUCUUCUAUAUAUGUAACUCUCAGAAUAUAUUUCUUUUACUUUACUAUAUCUAUUUCUGUGUACGCAGUUUGGGCAUCAAGAGUGUGGUCGACAACCAAGUCGAAAAAUUAGAUAGUGGUCUCAGCAAUGGUAUGUGUUCCUACUGUGAAAUGGCAGUCGUAUGGAUGCAAAGUCAGCUCACGCAGAACAAGACACUAGAGCAGGUGUUGAACUACCUCGAUGAGGUGAGGUUGCAUCCGGAGACACUUUUAUUUAGCCUCGGAUGUUGUCUGUAUAUAUUUCCCUUGUUCAUUGCAGUUAUGCGAGCGAAUACCAAGUCCCAUGGGGGAAUCAGCCGUCGACUGUAAUAGUCUCUCCUCCAUGCCUGUGAUAACUUUCAAUAUUGGUGGAAGGAAUUUUGACCUCAGACCGGAGCAGGUAGAUAGUAAUUAAUGACUUUCCAUUAGAAUAAUGAAGUAUGAUUGCUCCUAUUAAAUCAAAUCAGUUCUUUUGGUUCAUUUCACUUACUAGAAUCCCACUUGAAAGGAUGUUUCCAAGGUUAGUUUUACUCUGCUGACCAUGGGAAAAGAACCACAGAUCAGACUGACGCAGCAAGCACUUAAUCUACUUGGAUUCAGAGCUCUAGAGGGGUUGAAUAAAGAUUGCUGAUGUGUGAAAGGACUGGAUGACCUGCGACUAACACUUAUCUUUUUGAUAGAAUCCAACAUCUAACAUUUAAUGCUAGAUGAUCCUAUUAUUAUCUCUAGUUGAUUGCUUUAGAUGAUCCUAUUCUAAUUAUCUCAUAUUCCCACUAUUGCUGUGGGUCUGUAGACCAGAAAACUGCAGCAAACAUACAUUUCCUUAUGAUAGAUGGGUAUGGACAUGAGAGCUUCUCUUCAGCAUCUGUGGCAGAUUAGUCCAUUUGAAACUGGGUAUCAUGGUUGCUUUGCAUCAAGCUUCAUAUGUUCAAAGGACUUGACUUGUUCUUGUGCACAACUCGAAUAAUUCCUUCUGAUCAAGCUUCAACUGUUCUUUGAAUACAAUGACCUGAUCAUCUCUAAUUUUUGCUCAUCUGUUACAGUACAUACUCAAAGUUGCCAGUGGAGGAUCUGAGCAGUGCAUCAGUGGAUUUACAGCUCUGGAUGUGCCCCAAGGUCCACUUUGGUACGCCACCUUCUCCAUAUGCUUCUACAGUACAUACUCCCGGUUGUAGCCGGAGUCAGCCUCUGAUGUAUGUGAUUCCUCCAUGGCCGCAGGGUACUCGGUGAUGUUUUCAUGGGAGCGUAUCACACUGUGUUUGACUACGGCAAUCUUAGGGUUGGAUUCGCGGAAGCAGCUUAAAGAUGGUUAAUUAUGUUGAAGUAUAUGCACCAUAUUAUAUAUGGGUAUGUGAGUAUGUUUCUGGGCUCUACUGUUCCUGCUUAUCUUAGUGACACUACGAUAUGACAUCCUAUGCCAUUAUUCUGGAACAACAACAAGAGAUGUAGAUAAGGUGGCCCCCUUGUAUAAAAGCUGAUGUGGAUAUGAUCCACCAAGCUUAUCCUCCCUUCAACUCUCCACUGCAUGCUUAAGCUUAGCCUCCCACGACACGUAAACCGCGUGGCGAAGCUGCUGUCAUCGGCAUACUACUAAGUCAUAGUGUACCAACUACAUGUCGCCGGACAAGAUGGUUUGCUACGGCAAGGCUUAGGGCUUUUACUGUUUGCAUUCAUGCAUGCAAUAAUGAAUGGGGAGUGGAGGGGAGCUGUCACGGUCAUGCAUCUAAAGCUGGUCUUCCUCUUGAAGCUUGCUUGACACGAUAAACCAUGAAGAACGAACGAGGAGGGAGGGUAGGAGGAGUUGGUGCUGAUUUGUUGGCUGCUUGCAGUUGUUUUAGAAUGCCUGCUUGUGAUAGACAGUGCUUACACCUAAUCUGAUUGAUCAGCAUUCCGGAAUAAAAUACACCCACACGUGUAGCUUCCGAUGGUGUGAUUUCGGUGGAUGUGAUGGCUUUGGCUUCAUGGGAUUUAAAUUCAUUCGAUUGACCCUCAUAGAGCCAAAGCAAAAGUACAAGCGAACAAUCCAUUACUAAAUCAAUAGCAUCCAUGUCAUGGCAUGAAAACGUUUUUUUUUUUUUUUACAAAUAUAAUUGAUUAAAAAAAAAUUGGAUCCUACGAGCCUCUAGCCACCUAAGUCGUCUCCGUAGGUCGGCUUGCACAGUUAGCCACACCUCCACCCCGUCAAUCAUCUCCAUUCAUCUCGAACAAUCACCUACGACGCCUUUGGCCUCCUCCAUACAUAGGUUUACCUACCAUCUACUUAUCUUCCUUGUCCCACCCUCUACUAUCACUCAUGGCCCCCUCCUUCCUCGUUCACCAUCGUUAACCUUCCUUCUUUACCUACGUUCUCCUCCUUCCUGGUAAGCAUGGACAAUACGUAGAUUGAAUUGUGGAGCUAACAUGACUAGAUUGGAGUGGUCGAUGUGUGGAGGCAACCAAUGAUCAAGCGACUACCGAUAAAGAUGACCAAGAUAAAAUCAUUAAUCAUAAAAAAAAAACUUGGCAAAAAUUCUUUAAAAUCAGAUUAUUUUUUUUUAUUCGUCCCAAGAAUAAUCUUAUCAUAUGUGACUAGAAGCUUACGUAUUGUUAACAUCAUAAAUAAAAAAAUCAUAAAAAGAAUAACCUUAUCGUGAUGCCAGUACUUUAACUUGUAGCGGUCUAAAAUAUUGUUUGGGUAAAACACAGUGGACAAAAAAAAGCCUAGGGAUUCAAGGUUGGAGAACAAGAAUGGAAACCAGCUGCAAGUCUAAAUCCAGUAGAAGACGGCACCGGAUGCAGUGACCGGCGACCUACUACAUCGGCCCAUCACAUCAGCCUAACUGGUACUCCAUGCCGCACAUUUUUAUAAGCUGAAACCUUCUCCCUCUUGCCUCUUGAAGUCACCGCGGUACGAAGAACAAUUAAUACGACGAGAGACGCAGCGAUUGCCAAAUAUUCAACGUGGCGAUCAGGUAGAGAAAUCUGCUCCAAUCAAGCCCAGUAAUACGCAGAACAACACUCUUUUGAUGCUUUGCUAGCUUCCAUGAAACGAUACUAGCAAUGGAAUCUGCAGGGGGAAUUAAUGGCGAGAAGAAGAGGGUGAGGGCUGCUGACGAAGGCGAUGAUAGUAACCGUGGAAAGCGAGUCUUACUCGGUUCAUUAAGUAUUUGCUACCACCGGCAAACGAAGGUCACCGGAUACCCGUCUCAUCACGUUAACUCGGUUGUUGCAAUGGUUGGAAAUGCUCACUGCACAUGAUAGAAAACUCCACACAAUAAACAAAAGAGACCAACGAGAAGAAGAGAGAGAGAGAGACUUCAGAUAAUUGACCUAAUAAGUCAGAUGGAUCCAUCAAACGUGCAAUUUGCAUCGUUAAGAGACGCAUUUUUCUACGUGGUUUCUUGGAAGGUCGUGUAUUCACGUGAUCUUAUCAUUAUAAUAUAUCAGUCAAUUCUUAUAUAUAUAUAUAUAUCCUCUUUGUCCCAACUACUAUUUCUUUGAAGCUUCUUCCUCCCUUCAGGCUCUUACAACACACACCUUGCGGUCCUUCCUUUCCUUAUUGUAUUAUAUUGAGAUCGUCAUAUAACAAGAGGUGGAGUUCUCAGGGAAUUCACAUCUCAAGAAAGUCUUGAGAUGUAGACGGUGCUUCUUCUCAUCUCUCACGGCACAAAGACUGGUCCAACAUAUCAGCGCAACCAGGCGUUUUGCUGACGGAAGUAGACCGAGAAACCAUUUCGUAUUCACAUGCAUAUCCUGAUCGAAUGGACCGGAGGCAAGACCUUCAAGUUAGGGGUCUUCUUUGUCCAACGCCGUCGUUGAAGUUGCAGAAAAGGCCACCGCAGCUGCUCUUAUUUUCUCGUUGGUUUCUGUGACCCAUUAAGCGUUCUGUUUCACGUUCAAACUGUGUGCUUCUCGGUAAUUGAUGUCGGAGCUUUUCAGCCGCGUCGGUGAGCUGGUGGAACCAUUGUGCUCUCUCGUGUUGCUCCGUUGCUCCGCAGUCUAAGGAGUACACAUCAAGACGAAUUGACCAAAGUCGGCA